GGGUCGUUAGCUCAGUUGGUAGAGCAGUUGGCUUUUAACCAAUUGGUCGAAGGUUCGAAUCCUUCACGACCCACCA
RNAcentral lists this transfer RNA (76 nucleotides) under Shewanella colwelliana. RNAcentral describes it as "tRNA-Lys". It matches the Rfam family "tRNA". Rfam says of the family: Transfer RNA (tRNA) molecules are approximately 80 nucleotides in length. The record is from RNAcentral. Lineage: Bacteria; Pseudomonadati; Pseudomonadota; Gammaproteobacteria; Alteromonadales; Shewanellaceae. RNAcentral also lists the same sequence under 193 other names.